AAUGGGCGAAAGCCUGAUCCAGCCAUGCCGCGUGUGUGAAGAAGGCCUUUUGGUUGUAAAGCACUUUAAGUGGGGAGGAAAAGCUUGUGGUUAAUACCCAUAAGCCCUGACGUUACCCACAGAAUAAGCACCGGCUAACUCUGUGCCAGCAGCCGCGGUAAUACAGAGGGUGCAAGCGUUAAUCGGAAUUACUGGGCGUAAAGCGAGCGUAGGUGGCUGUUUAAGUCAGAUGUGAAAGCCCCGGGCUUAACCUGGGAACUGCAUCUGAUACUGGACAGCUAGAGUAGGUGAGAGGGGAGUAGAAUUCCAGGUGUAGCGGUGAAAUGCGUAGAGAUCUGGAGGAAUACCGAUGGCGAAGGCAGCUCCCUGGCAUCAUACUGACACUGAGGUUCGAAAGCGUGGGUAGCAAA
Molecule: ribosomal RNA, 410 nt
Filed under: uncultured bacterium
Lineage: Bacteria
Description: bacterial SSU rRNA
Rfam family: Bacterial small subunit ribosomal RNA
Source: RNAcentral